Molecule: ribosomal RNA, 229 nt
Filed under: uncultured bacterium
Lineage: Bacteria
Description: partial 16S ribosomal RNA
Rfam family: Bacterial small subunit ribosomal RNA
Source: RNAcentral
CGGGGUGAGUAAUGCUUGGGAAUCUAGCUUAUGGAGGGGGAUAACUACGGGAAACUGUAGCUAAUACCGCGUAAUAUCGAAAGAUUAAAGUGUGGGACCUUCGGGCCACAUGCCAUAGGAUGAGCCCAAGUGGGAUUAGGUAGUUGGUGAGAUAAAGGCUCACCAAGCCGACGAUCUCUAGCUGGUCUGAGAGGAUGACCAGCCACACUGGGACUGAGACACGGCCCAG